AUUGAACGCUGGCGGCAGGCUUAACACAUGCAAGUCGAGCGGUAACAGGAGAAGCUUGCUUCUCGCUGACGAGCGGCGGACGGGUGAGUAAUACUUAGGAAUCUACCUAGUAGUGGGGGAUAGCUCGGGGAAACUCGAAUUAAUACCGCAUACGACCUACGGGAGAAAGGGGGCAACUUGUUGCUCUCGCUAUUAGAUGAGCCUAAGUCGGAUUAGCUAGGUGGUGGGGUAAAGGCCUACCAUGGCGACGAUCUGUAGCUGGUCUGAGAGGAUGAUCAGCCACACCGGGACUGAGACACGGCCCGGACUCCUACGGGAGGCAGCAGUGGGGAAUAUUGGACAAUGGGGGCAACCCUGAUCCAGCCAUGCCGCGUGUGUGAAGAAGGCCUUUUGGUUGUAAAGCACUUUAAGCAGUGAAGAAGACUCUAGGGUUAAUACCCUUAGACGAUGACAUUAGCUGCAGAAUAAGCACCGGCUAACUCUGUGCCAGCAGCCGCGGUAA
This 502-nucleotide ribosomal RNA is filed under the name uncultured bacterium. RNAcentral describes it as "partial 16S ribosomal RNA". It matches the Rfam family "Bacterial small subunit ribosomal RNA", at positions 30 to 523 of the family's 1533-position model. The record is from RNAcentral.